Misgurnus anguillicaudatus (oriental weatherfish) is the source of this 545-nucleotide non-coding RNA. NCBI's taxonomy places the organism in Eukaryota, Metazoa, Chordata, Actinopteri, Cypriniformes, Cobitidae. The record is from RefSeq and is a predicted model, not a curated record.
GAGGAACAAGAGGCUGCCACCGCGGCUGCUGUAGCCGAGGUGGGGCCGGUCUGUUGGUUUUACGUGCUCUCGCUGUGCGCCUCGCUGUUGCUCGAAUCUGAUGGUCGUGGUACCUGUACGAGCCGCAAUACAACGAGGAACAGUUACGGAUGAUUGAGCAACAAGAGGCUGCCACCGCGGCUGCUGUAGCUGGUGGUGUGAGCGCUCUCGCUGUGCGCCUAUGGACACCGAAAGAGAAUCAUAUUGCUGUCGCGAAUUUCAGCGAUGGCAUUUUCUUCUUGAACCCCGCAAGGAGAAACGGAGGCAUGAGUAUAAAACAAUCGACUUACAUCCUAUCGUCAUUUCUUGGAAUGAGUUUUGCAAGGCGAAAGACUGGGGAAAGGACAUCAACUUGUUUUACCUGCCUGUGUUCGUUGUCCAGGACAUCAGACGUAGAUAUCCAGCUCCUCACGGACAUUAUAGCGACUAUAAAUAAACGGAUGAAGCUCUGGAUGAGCUAUAAGUGUGAAUUGUUUAUGUUUUUUAAUAAAAAGUUAUAACUCACA